This 506-nucleotide ribosomal RNA is filed under the name uncultured bacterium. Its description in RNAcentral is "partial 16S ribosomal RNA". It matches the Rfam family "Bacterial small subunit ribosomal RNA", at positions 29 to 523 of the family's 1533-position model. The record is from RNAcentral.
AGUGAACGCUGGCGGUAGGCCUAACACAUGCAAGUCGAACGGCAGCACGGGAGAGCUUGCUCUCCGGGUGGCGAGUGGCGGACGGGUGAGGAAUACAUCGGAAUCUACUCUGUCGUGGGGGAUAACGUAGGGAAACUUACGCUAAUACCGCAUACGACCUACGGGUGAAAGCAGGGGACCUUCGGGCCUUGCGCGAUGGAAUGAGCCGAUGGCGGAUUAGAUAGUUGGCGGGGUAAAGGGCCACUAAGGCGACGAUCCGUAGCUGGUCUGAGAAGAUGGUCAGCCAAACUGGAACUGAGACACGGUCCAGACUCCUACGGGAGGCAGCAGUGGGGAAUAUUGGACAAUGGGCGCAAGCCGGAUCCAGCCAUACCGCGUGGGUGAAGAAGGCCUUCGGGUUGUAAAGCCCUUUUGUUGGGAAAGAAAUCCAGCUGGCUAAUACCCGGUUGGGAUGACGGUACCCAAAGAAUAAGCACCGGCUAACUUCGUGCCAGCAGCCGCGGUAA